UGGCUGUUUCAGAAUUACUUAGAGAAUACAACCUAGGGUUGCAAAGUAGAAGUAGCAGAUCAAGGGAGGGGUAAGAACCCCUUUAUUUUGGCAUAGGCAUAUCCUACCUGAUACAAGUCUGUUGCAAGUACCAUACUUUGAAGGCAGCUUUGUCUAGCUGAAACCCAAGGACGGUUACCAGGGGAGGUGGGAGUCUUGGGAAUCGGAAGGGAUUACUUGGUAGCUGCUCUAAGUAUUUGAAGAGCUGUCAGAAUUUUUUUCCUUACUGGUGAGGAACUUACCUCUUUGUAGUGAGAUGAAUUGGACUGCAUUGUAGGUGGUGUGCUCACUACUCUAAGUGACCACAGAAGCUGGAGAAAGGAUUUGACCCUUCCAAGUGUAGAGAGGAAGAAUGGUUGCCACAGUGACUCCUUAGGUCCCUCCCACCUCUGUCAUGAUUUUUCUGUAUUUUUUUUCUCAGAAAUAAACCUUUCCUCAUAGGGGAAAGAGUGAAUGCCAGUUGAGCCCUCACUAUAAAAGACAUGGCUGCUCACAAAUGCUCCACUGCGAAUUCCUCAGGAAUCUUGAAAUUGGUGGUGGAAUCUCCAUUUUACAGAUGCAACAACAUUUUCCUCACUUCCUGGAAAUGGCUCUGUUCUAGCCUUUCAACAUUAUCCAGGAGUACCUGGGAGAAGAGCCUGGUAAAACACAAUGAACUGCGGCCAGGGUCACUACUGUUUUGAAGAAUAUGAUCAGAAAUCUUCUCCCUGGCUGGGCACAAUGGCUCACUCCUAUAAUCCCAGUACUUCGGGAGGCUGAGACAGGAGGAUGCCUGAGAAUAGGAGUUCAAGACCAGCCUGGGCAACAUAGCAAGACUGUAUCUACAAAAAAAUGCAAAAAAGUUAGCCACACAUGGUGGCACAUACCUGUAGUCUCAGCUACUCGGGAGGAGAGGAUCACUUGAGCCUAGGAGUUCAAGGCUGCAGUGAGCUAUGAUUGCGCCACCACACUCUAGCCUGGAUGACAGAGAGAGACCCUGUCUCUUAAAAAACAAACAAACAAACAAACAAAAACACUCCCUGUGUUAAACCUGCAUGUGAAAAAUCAGCUUUUUUCUAUAGAAGUGAACUAAGAAAUUACUUAAUGGAAAAGAAUCUUGAAUUUAAACAACCUAAAUUAAUGAAUGCAAUAGUCUGUGAUAUAGUUUCAUAACUUUACUGUCUACUCUUAGAGUCUUUAAAACAAUGUAACCUUUCUCUACCAAGUGGUGUUUAGAUUGUUUUCUUCUCCCUUCCAAAACAUUUCUAGAAAAGAUGCUGUGAAUGUCACAUAUGCUUCCUGGCUACACUUGAGGUCUCAAGGAAUGGAUGUGCCUGAUUCUGUGUCUUACCAGAUAAAGACACUCAUUGAGGAUGCUCUAGGAACCCACAAGGUGGAGAAGAGGUGCCCCUUCCUUGAAGUCUUGAUCUGUUGCCCAGGCUGGAGUGCCGUGGUGCAAUCUUGGCUCACUACAACCUCCGCCUCCCGGGUUUGAGCGAUUCUCCUGCCUCAGCCUCCGAAGUAGCUGGAACUACAGGCUCACGCCACCAUGCCCAGCUAAGUUUUUGUAUUUUUAGUAGAGAUGGGAUCUCACCAUGUUAGCCAGGAUGGUCUCGAUCUCCUGAUCUCAUGAUCUGCCUGCCUUGGCCUCCCAAAGUGCUGGGAUUACAGGUGUGAGCCACCAUGGCUGGCCGGAAGAGUUUCUUAAAAAGUGACUCAGUGACUGGGUAUGGUGGCUCAGACCUGUAAUCCUAGCACAUUGGGAGGCUAAGUCAGGAGGAUCGCUGGAGCUCAGGAGUUCGAGACCAGCCUGGACAACAUAGUGAGACCGCGUCUAUAUAUUUUUUUUAAGUGACUCAGCAUUUUGUGAGGAGUAAAAGAGAUGACACAUAAAUAAGGUACUUAGCACUGACACAGUAAAUGCUCAAGAAGUUUGUUUUAAAGCCCCUCAACUGCUCAUGUUUGAACCUCUAUUAUUUUUGUUAUUUGAUAAAUACUAAGGGUGGCAGGUAAAGAAAAGGACAAUCCCUUCAAGGCAGGAGGACUAGCAAGAGCGUACACCUAGAGGUAGAAAGAUACCUGGUACGUUUGUGGGGGUGGGGGACAUAAGCUGACGAGACAGGUGAAAGCGGAAGUCUUUAAUUUUCAAAAAAAUACGGAAGUAAUGGGAAAUGAGGCAGGAAAGGCCUCAAAUGCCAAACUGGAGAGCCAGCUUUAGUUGGAGAAAGGCAGUAGGAAGUACCUCUGUUCAAAACGACAACAGAACUCAAGAAGUUCCUGCCUUUCAGAAAGGCCCAAAUCAGGAGGAGCCCCGCUGCCCUGCAGAGCUCCCUUGUCAUUCAUAAAGGACAAAGGAUCUGAGAAACAGGAAGCCUUCUGAGAAGUUUUCUAGGACUUUGGAAUGUAAACUUAUUCACCAUGAGUGAAGGAUAAACUCCAGCCAGUGGGAUCCGAUUCUGCAGGGUGGUAGUGGUGGGGGAGGGGGUCUGUGGCGGGUGCUCUGAGGUGAGAGGCAGUGAAAGCGGAACCUUCUUCCUAGGGCCCCUGGAAGCCGAGCAUCCUGGGUGGAAAUCCAGUGGAGUCUGCUUCCUGCCUGCUGGUCCCGACGCUGAAGUGCAAAAGGGAGAAAAUGGAUGUUGGGAAAUAGUCCAGGAACAUUCAGCAUCGGCUGGGAAGUUAAACCAAAUGCAAUGUGAGGAAACCAAGACUGAGAAGUUGCAGUGAGCAUGGUAUCAUGGACCAUCUGGAACUCAAAACCCCUCUCCUGUGGGGAACUCAUCCCCAUAGUUUCAAUUAUUCAGUCUACCCUUAGUCAGAGGGAUGAACACGUACACAGCCUUGGCCAGUCAGAACAUCUUACCCUGUUGGUCACAAUGGCUGGUCCAUCAACAGCCCUUGACCCAGGCUGAGUCAAACAGAAACUUCCCUGGAACUUUUCUACCAGGGAAGAUGUGAUCCUUGUCUCCAGGAAGUUGCCGCAAGGUAAAUCUGGGGCUUCUGGUGGUCACUACACUCACAAAGUAGAGCAUGCUUAUCUGAAAGGUAGAAAAAAAGAUCAUUUGAGCCCCUCAAUGCAGCAGUGCCUGAAAUUUUCUGUACUCUUGAAUCACCCACAUUGCAUAACCCUAUAAACUUCUUGUUUGCUGAA
Callithrix jacchus (white-tufted-ear marmoset) is the source of this 3166-nucleotide non-coding RNA. The record is from RefSeq and is a predicted model, not a curated record. NCBI's taxonomy places the organism in Eukaryota, Metazoa, Chordata, Mammalia, Primates, Cebidae.